This 253-nucleotide ribosomal RNA is filed under the name uncultured bacterium. Its description in RNAcentral is "partial 16S ribosomal RNA". It matches the Rfam family "Bacterial small subunit ribosomal RNA", at positions 524 to 776 of the family's 1533-position model. The record is from RNAcentral.
UACGUAGGGUGCGAGCGUUAAUCGGAAUUACUGGGCGUAAAGCGUGCGCAGGCGGUGCUGUAAGACCGAUGUGAAAUCCCCGGGCUUAACCUGGGAACUGCAUUGGUGACUGCAGCGCUGGAGUAUGGCAGAGGGGGGUGGAAUUCCACGUGUAGCAGUGAAAUGCGUAGAGAUGUGGAGGAACACCGAUGGCGAAGGCAGCCCCCUGGGCCAAUACUGACGCUCAAGCACGAAAGCGUGGGGAGCAAACAGG